Molecule: long non-coding RNA, 1744 nt
Organism: Peromyscus eremicus (cactus mouse)
Lineage: Eukaryota; Metazoa; Chordata; Mammalia; Rodentia; Cricetidae
Exons: 3
Source: RefSeq, a predicted model, not a curated record
GGGACAGCGUCUCAGAAAGGGACAGCAUCUCACUCUGUGGCUUUUGGUGCACUUAGAGCUGAAGAUUCUGGAAUUUGGACGCAAGCCCAUGGGGCCUUGUCUGUAGGUGGGAUUCCCGAAUCCUGAUUCCUAGCUUGGCAUCCUGUGCAAGUCACUCCUCCCGGGUUCUUAGGUUUCACAGACUCACUAGAAGAUUCAUCCAGGGUUGAAGUUUGUUGAAAACCUCCUAUGGAAAGGUUCUAGCCACCAGAGAGAAAAGCCACGCACCAAACACAGACUCUGGAAUAAACAAUGCUCCUCGAGACAUGAGCCCUUCCAGGUUGGUUCCCAAAAGAACUCCAUUCACAUGCUGCACAACAAUGUUUUGGUCUACAUAGAAGAUGGUGGUCCACCAGGUGGUGGUAGUGCAGGCCUUUAAUCCCAACACCCGGGAGGCAGAGCCAGGUGGAUCUCUGUGAGUUCGAGGCCAGCCUGGUCUACAGAGCAAGAUCCAGAACAAGCACCAAAACAACACAGCAAAAUCCUGUCUCGGAAAAAAAAGAAAGAAAAGAAAAAAAAAAGGAAGGUGGUGGUCCAUGAGGUCCAUAAUGGACCUGCACAGUUGAUCACCAAGUGAUAUCACAACCAUCCUCACAGUGCAAUGCAUCAUGUACAGGUCUGUUUGGAUGUCAGCAAAGACACAUCCAUUAUGCUUUCAGUCACACAGAAGUAUGGUGCAAGCAGGGCAUGGAAACUCAUGCCUAUAGUACCAGCACUCAGGAGGCUGAAGCAGGAGGAUUGCUAUGACUUCUUGACCAAUCAAGGUUAUAGAAUAGACCCUGUCUCAAAAGAACAAAAAGGGGGUUGGGAGGGACAUGCUCAAAGUAUAUUAUAAACAUGUAUAAAAAUGUCCUUAUGUAACCCAGUACCAUGUAGAAUAAAGACAGAGCAAGGGGGUAAAUUGUUAAAAACAGUACUCAAAAUUAUGUGCAGUACAAUACUUGGUGGUGAUAAUGAACAGCUUUUACUACUUUAUGUAUCAUUGCUACUUCAGAGAGCAUAUUCUUUUUACUUAUUAAAAAAGUUGACUGUAAAACCACGCUGGGUUCUGCAUGCAGCAGACUCCAUAGCUUGUGUUUACUGUAUCUCUUAAUUCCAAGAGACAUCAGAGCUACAUGUCUGUAAUCCUUGUACUUGAGAGGCUGAAACCAAAGGAUCACUGUGAGUUCCAGGCCUGUCUGGACUACAUAGCAAAAUCCUGCCAGACAAAAACAAAAAAAACCAAAAAGUGUGUGUGUGUGUGUGUGUGUGUGUGUGUGUGUGUGUGUGUCUAAGACAACAUCAAGUGAGUGACUUGUAUGUGCUAUUUUGAUUUGUACAAGUAGGCUUUGUACAACAAAUCACCAGAUGAUAGACACAUUUUUCAGAACCUACCCAUUCAUUACAUGACAGAUGACUGUACAAUCCACACCCACAGACAGAUGUGCUACAUAGCAAAGGGGCCCCCGACUUCAGCUAUCCAUUACAACGCAUAUGCAUGUAUGUAUAACAUACAUCUAUUUUCACUCAGAUUAUUUAAUGAUUUAUGACAAUCAGUAAACCAUGUUAGCUCCAUAUGCAGACACUUGGCUGUGGGGCUUGGGCUAUGGCCAUUAGGUUAUUUUGAAAAGAUCUGCUCUUCCAGCUUUGGAAGUGAACUAGAAAAGAGAAAGGCAAACAAACAAAAUACCAGCAUGGUAAAGAAACACUCGAGCUAACACUGACU